GACGAACGCUGGCGGCGUGCUUAACACAUGCAAGUCGAACGGAAAGGCCCUGCUUUUGUGGGGUGCUCGAGUGGCGAACGGGUGAGUAACACGUGAGUAACCUGCCCUUGACUUUGGGAUAACUUCAGGAAACUGGGGCUAAUACCGGAUAGGAUCUCCUGCUGCAUGGUGGGGGUUGGAAAGUUUCGGCGGUUGGGGAUGGACUCGCGGCUUAUCAGCUUGUUGGUGGGGGAGUGGCUUACCAAGGCUUUGACGGGUAGCCGGCAUGAGAGGGUGACCGGCCACAUUGGGACUGAGAUACGGCCCAGACUCCAACGGGAGGCAGCAGUGGGGAAUAUUGCACAAUGGGCGGAAGCCGGAUGCAGCAACGCCGCGUGCGGGAUGACGGCCUUCGGGUUGUAAACCGCUUUCGCCUGUGACGAAGCGUGAGUGACGGUAAUGGGUAAAGAAGCACCGGCUAACUACGUG
RNAcentral lists this ribosomal RNA (468 nucleotides) under uncultured bacterium. RNAcentral describes it as "partial 16S ribosomal RNA". It matches the Rfam family "Bacterial small subunit ribosomal RNA", at positions 28 to 507 of the family's 1533-position model. The record is from RNAcentral.